This is a non-coding RNA of Pelobates cultripes (western spadefoot toad), 234 nucleotides long. The record is from the annotation of a GenBank genome assembly. Lineage: Eukaryota; Metazoa; Chordata; Amphibia; Anura; Pelobatidae.
CUUCCGCGCAGAUAGAUGUUUAUACACCACAAGCUGCAAGCAACCUCUGGACAUUCUGAAUAACCCCGGCGAGUCAGUGAGAUUGUCAGAACCAGUGGACUGAUGAUGCCAGUUUACUUUCCAGCCUGGGGUGAGGGGAAAGCUCUGCUCCAAUCCUUCCCUACUCUAACCCUCAAGAGCUUUUCUACACGCACACCUCUCAUACCGCUUUAAGGAGUUGGCUGAUCCAGGCCA